CAGCACCUCAAGUGGUCAGGAUGAUUAUUGGGCCUAAAGCAUCCGUAGCCUGCUUUGUCAGUUUUCGGUUAAAUCCAUACGCUCAACGUAUGGGCUGCCGGGAAUACUGCAAAGCUAGGGAGUGGGAGAGGUAGACGGUACUCGGUAGGAAGGGGUAAAAUCCUUUGAUCUAUUGAUGACCACCUGUGGCGAAGGCGGUCUACCAGAACACGUCCGACGGUGAGGGAUGAAAGCUGGGGGAGCAAACCGGAUUAGAGACCCGAGUAGUCC
This 270-nucleotide ribosomal RNA is filed under the name uncultured archaeon. RNAcentral describes it as "partial 16S ribosomal RNA". It matches the Rfam family "Archaeal small subunit ribosomal RNA", at positions 477 to 747 of the family's 1478-position model. The record is from RNAcentral.